GAUGAAGAACGCAGCGAAAUGCGAUAAGUAAUGUGAAUUGCAGAAUUCAGUGAAUCAUCGAAUCUUUGAACGCACAUUGCGCCCGCCAGCACUCUGGCGGGCAUGCCUGUUCGAGCGUCAUUUCAACCAUCAAGCCCCCAGGGGCUUGUGCUGGGGCCCUGCGGCUGCCCGCAGGCCCUGAAAACCAGUGGCGGGCUCGCUAGUCACACCGAGUGUAGUAGUUCAUCUUCUCUCCGGUCUUGUGAGGCGGGUUCCGGCCGUGAAACACCACACUUCAUUCAAGGUUGACCUCGGAUCAGGUAGGAAUACCCGCUGAACUUAAGCAUAUCAAUAAGCGGAGGA
This 342-nucleotide unclassified non-coding RNA is filed under the name soil metagenome. RNAcentral describes it as "partial contains 5.8S ribosomal RNA, internal transcribed spacer 2, and large subunit ribosomal RNA". The stretch from base 1 to 120 matches the Rfam family "5.8S ribosomal RNA", at positions 35 to 154 of the family's 154-position model. The record is from RNAcentral.